UACGUAGGGUGCAAGCGUUGUCCGGAAUUAUUGGGCGUAAAGAGCUCGUAGGCGGCUUGUCGCGUCGGCUGUGAAAACCUGGGGCUCAACCCCGGGCCUGCAGCCGAUACGGGCAAGCUAGAAUUCGGUAGGGGAGACUGGAAUUCCUGGUGUAGCGGUGAAAUGCGUAGAUAUCAGGAGGAACACCGGUGGUGUAGGCGGCUCACUGGACCGUAACUGACGCUGAGACACGAAAGCUAGGGGAGCAAACAGG
RNAcentral lists this ribosomal RNA (253 nucleotides) under uncultured bacterium. RNAcentral's name for it is "partial 16S ribosomal RNA". It matches the Rfam family "Bacterial small subunit ribosomal RNA", at positions 524 to 776 of the family's 1533-position model. The record is from RNAcentral.